RNAcentral lists this unclassified non-coding RNA (600 nucleotides) under Hevea brasiliensis (rubber tree). Lineage: Eukaryota; Viridiplantae; Streptophyta; Magnoliopsida; Malpighiales; Euphorbiaceae. The record is from RNAcentral.
GAGAGAGAGAGAGAGAGAGAAUGAACACCAAUGAAAGCAAAAGAUCAUAAAUAAAUGAAGAAGACAACAUUCUCAGUUCCCACUCCUAAUUAUAUGGACAAAUCUUCCAAGAAAUUUAUUUUCUCAGUAAGAAGACUAAUGCAUAGGACUUGGGAGAUUUAUCUUUAGGUAAAUGAAGCCGCAAGAGAAGAGGUCAUAGACUUCUAAUGAAUGUAAAUUUAGAAAAAGAGAUUAUUAGGUUAAAAUUUAUGAAACUAGAGAAGACAUGACAUGAGCUUCAACUUCAUUAUAGAAACAAAAAGCAAAACUGUUAGUAUUUUCAUACUAUGUUGCAGCGCCAUUAAAGCAGCAUACUUUGUUAUGAAAAACUACAACUUUUUGAUCUCUUCUCAAACAAAUUUGACUAAGGACUAAACAGUUGACAAUUUAUAACUUAAAAUUUACUAAAUCAUAAAACAGUUGACUAAUGAUUAAAACUAAGUACAAACCAGAUUCCAUCCAAAACACAGGCAUCCCACAAAACCAUGAAUAUAUUUACAUCACUAAAUUGCAUCCACUGAAACUGAUCAUUCUCAAUCGAAAAACCCAUGAAAAAAAAAA